GAUGAAGAACGCAGCGAAAUGCGAUAAGUAAUGUGAAUUGCAGAAUUCAGUGAAUCAUCGAAUCUUUGAACGCACCUUGCACCCUUUGGACUGCUCCAAAGGGUAUGCUCGUUUGAGUGUCAUUGUACUCUCACACUCUCUGAUCCUUUGGAUUUGGGGAGCGGUGGACUUGGGUGCUUGCUGCUUCCUUGUGGCUCACCUGAAAUGCAUCAGUGCAUCUCUCGAUUGGACAUAGCACGGCGUGAUAAGUGUCUUCGCCGGCACCUCAUAUGAGGGUGGCCGAUCGGGAGCUCUGUGCUUUCAAACCGUCUUCGGACAACGCUGACAACUUGACCUCAAAUCGAGUAGGACUACCCGCUGAACUUAAGCAUAUCAAUAAGCGGAGGA
This 387-nucleotide unclassified non-coding RNA is filed under the name soil metagenome. RNAcentral's name for it is "partial contains 5.8S ribosomal RNA, internal transcribed spacer 2, and large subunit ribosomal RNA". The stretch from base 1 to 122 matches the Rfam family "5.8S ribosomal RNA", at positions 35 to 154 of the family's 154-position model. The record is from RNAcentral.